Rattus norvegicus (Norway rat) is the source of this 16683-nucleotide long non-coding RNA. RefSeq lists it as uncharacterized. NCBI's taxonomy places the organism in Eukaryota, Metazoa, Chordata, Mammalia, Rodentia, Muridae. The record is from RefSeq and is a predicted model, not a curated record.
CCAGCCCAGCUCCUGCCCCUCGGCCGUGCGCAGACGCGGAACUGCGGGAGCCCGCGGCGCCCGGGCAGGGCGGGAGAGCUGUGGGGCCUGCCGAACCCUAACCUGGCUCUGAUCAGCAGCUGGGCUUGAAAUUCUGACUCUAGGAACCCCGCCAGGGUGGGCAAUGGAGACCCAGAGGACAGGAGGUGGCGUUCUCGCGCUGACACAGCUAAGGGCUACCAGAGUGUGCCUACUUGGAUUCCUGGUCUCAAGGGCUUUCAGCUGGGUCCAGUCAGGACACAUCUGCUACAGCAUUUGCUUCAUUCUUCCUACCUCCUACGCCCAAAGAUAUCUCAACACACAUGUACAGCUUGAAGAAGUUAUGGAGGAGUCGUCGCCCCAAUUCCCUGGACUUUUGGGGGGCCGAAAGUGGUUAUUCUAAGGUUGUUUUAUGAGGAAUUUAAAAAUGGUUUUAAUUUAACAGAGAGGAAUUAGCUAGAUUGAGUUGUACAGUCAUAAUCUCAUUUGGUAGCUAGGUUACAAUCAUAUCUUUGCUUUGAUGUAGAAUUUAUUUGUCAAAAAAGUUUAAAAGUACAAGGUUUAGAGCCAGUCCUUCUAUUGAGGUCAUUACAAACUUCUCAGUUGAUUACACAUGAGAGUUAAGGGCCAAAUAGCAAAUUCAUGUCUCUGAGUUUAUGAGAGUACUUUUAAGAUAAUAUUUAAGCUUUAAAGGCAACAGUCCAGAUUACCUUAUAUAGAUGUUUUUCAAAACCAUCAGAAAUCCACAAAAUUUGAGAUUUAAAGUUAUUUAUCUUUUGUUGAGGCAUAUCUGUUCCACUUUGGUAGAUUUAAUGAAGAAUUUGACCAUCUCUACCUCCAGGUGAGGCAAUCCUUUGUGGCUAGACAGCCACUGAACAAAACUGCCUGUUUCAUCUGCAGACUAAUACUGUCCAGAAAAGGACAGAUUAUGCAGAAUAGUUGACUGAUAAGUCCUGCCAAGACAGGGUGAUCAGCCCUUCAAAAUCUGCAUUUCAAGAGUCUGUCAGUUGAUUUUGGGCCAGAAGGCUGAAGACUUGAGCUCACAUGUUGCUAACAGGGGACUGUGCUAGUGGAGAUUUGUCUCUACAACCUCUCAGUUCUGGAAGCCAUGUUAGGAUUCCUAUGUGUAUUGAUAUUUGGUCAUUCUCAGAUUUCUGCUGGGGUUGAAGACUCUCAUAGCCUAUCAGGCUGUUUAACUCUGAAAUACAUAUUUUUUUUGGAAAGUUAUCUGAUAGUUUACAAGUUAGCCAAGAUAGAACAUAGAUGUUAAGCCUUUCUUAAGCUGGAAUGGAUAACUAAAUGUUCUGUUUAACUGAUAAAGUGUUGGACUGGGUGUUAGAUAUACUUUAUGCUUUUAAUUACAAAAUGAUAAUAGUUGUGCUCAGCUUAUAUUUGAGAGAAAAGUUUUUUUUAAUUAGACAAAAAGGGUGAUAUAUGGGAUGAUGUUACGGUGAGGCAGGUACAAGAUAGAAUGAGGCCUGUCAUUGGAAGAGAAGGAAGGAUGGUGGGAGAAAAGUUUGAGGGAAGAAGAAGAGGAGGAAACUGGAAUGGGAGGCAGAGAAGCCUUUGAGAGAACAUGGAGACUGAUGUUAAAAUUUCAUGCUGUACCUUUACAGGUUGUUAUGAAUAUUCUUAAGGGAUGGAUGUGAACAGGGUUUUUUAUGUUUAGGUAGGCAAUUAUAUCUUAUCAAUCUGAUCAAAAAGAAAAAAAAGAAAAAAUGGCCCCACUGUUCUAUUUCUUUAUGCCCUAUGCUUGACUCAAGGUAUCAUGCAGUUUCACAAGGCAGGGAAAACCAUAUUGAUCCUUGUCCUCAAAGAUGAAGAGGUGGGCAAAGGGGAGAACAAUUAGAGAAAAUAGGAAAAGUGUACUAUGAUUUACCCUUCGCACUGGCCAACAGGAGACCACCUUUCUUCUGAGACUCAGCCCCACCUUAAUGUAAAAUCCAAGUCCACUACGCCUCAGCUACCCAGGACUAAAGUUGCUAGCUGAAAUGGUGGAAAACCUCUGUGAAUCCUGUCCAGUGUGUGCCUCACUCAGGAUCUGCUCCAUUAGACUCCUGAACUCUCUGCUCCCCGUUAAAUGGGACUGGUGCAGUAUUCUUUAAUGGAGGAAUUCUUAUUUUGUUCUAAAGCCAUUAAAUUAGCAAGGCCCAAAACUUUGAGUUGUGGCAUCGAAAUGAAGGUACUGUCUCCAUCCUGUCCUUUUAUUUCCCAGAAUAUUAGCAUGGUUGUUAUUCUUCCUAACGGGCCAGUACCAAUUAAAAUGGGGAAGAAAAAGAUAGAAGCCCCAUGGAGGGGUAAACCUGAGGACCAUUACGAAGUCCCACCCCCUAGGAAACAAAGCAUCUAGUACCGUGGUUCUUAACCCUCCUAAUGCCGUGAUCCUUUAAUAUAGUUCCUCAUGUUGUGGUGACCCCCCAACUGUAAAUGUAUUUAUCUUGCUGUUUCAUAACUAUAAUUUUGCUACUGUUAUGAAUUGGAUUGUAAAUAGCUAAUAUUUCUGAUGGUCUUAGGCAGACUAUGUGAAAUGCUCCUUUGGCCCCCAAGGGGUCACUACCACCAGGUUGAGAACUGCUCUUCUAGUAUGCCAUUUGGUUGUAUACGCUACCUUCAGAGAUAACGCCUAAAACCCAUAACUCAUGGCUACUUUCAAAUGAUUGGGUGGAGUUGCCAAGGAAUGGAAACCUACAUUGGUGAAGAGAUCCAAAGGAAGUCCAUUCAGAAGGUUCACAACCUAAGCUAUUUUUUUUUUUGUUUUGCAUGUGAAACAACCCAGAGGACUGCACAUUGUCAAGAUGACUCAAAGAUAAGGUAGCCAGAGUUACACAUUCCAGGAUAACUAUCCCAAAACAGAGCUCAUGUGCAGUCCAGUAAAAUAGGAAUUUCUUCACCAGUGUUGACCUGCCAGGUUCUACUGUUGCAUGUCUCUUCUGCCAACAACACAGACUAAUAAUAAUGACACCCUCCCAGGAGCAGCACGCCUGGUACACCAGACAGAAGCCAGCAUCUCCUUUCUGGCAGCAGAUUGAUGACAUUGGACUUCUGUUCUUGAGGCUUGGGUAGAGAAUCAUGCUCACUCAAAAUGCACACAUUCCAGAUAUGAUUAUGUUUCCCCUGUCAUUAGUAUUUCUGCUGACAUCACCAUGAAUAGAUACAUACUUGCAAUGCCUUAAGCAUACUCAAGGCUAGCAUUUCCUAUAACAUUGUAUCUGAUCCAAAAGCACAUUUUACAGCCUGGGGAGUCACCAUGGGUUCACAGGCAUGAAAUCAGUUCAUCAUACAUUCCAUAGCCUAGACAUUACAAUGGACAAAAACUAUGAACUGGCUUAGCGAACAGUGUUCCUGCUCCUUGCAGGGUUGUACGAAGGUGCAGUAUGCACCAAGCAUUAGCGUUACAUGUGCAUACAUGGCUUCAUGUGGGUGGAGCACAUGGGCCCAUGAUAGAUCAAUGAAAAUGAGAGCAAUGUAGUCACUGUAUCCCUCAUAGUACACUAACGUGGGCUUCAGUUUCCAUCUACCCUUUCUGACUCAGAAGUGACUCAAUCAUUGGCCAGGACAGAUCACGUGGCACUACUGAAUAGGAAGAGAGCUAGGAAGUACAGUGUCACUGUGUGUUCAGCAGGCAGUGAGUCAAGAAUGUUUUUAAUAGCACGAAUGACAGUUGUAACCUUUCAGCAGCUAAUUCUAGGUGCUUAACAGGAGGCAAAGACAAGCUAAUACAGGGGCUAUGACCUCAAAGCUGUGAUUAUUACCCAAUUAUCUGAAAGUACACAGUUCUUUACAUGAAAUUUCUCACUGGCUUGGAGAAUUCAGGCAUGUAUUUCAAGUUAUUAACUUCAAUUUUCUCAUCAGCAAAGUUGGGAUAGUUAAUAAUAGAUACUUCAAAGGUUAUGAAGAUCAAAGUAACUAAUACACAGGGACUAAUAUCUAUCUACAUCUUAAUUGUUUUAUUGCUUUUACUGCUAGCGUUAUUGACUUAAGUACUAGUAUCAGGCUGCCACGUUUGCCCUGUAAUUGCAUUUAGAAUCCCAAGCCAUGUAGCUUUCACUUCAAAUGUGUGUUUUCAAAAGGUUUUCCUUAGUCUUGUCGUGGGCUGGAAAGUGCAAAAGAAAAAUUGUCAUUUUUUUUUUGCAACAAAUAAAAACACUGGGAAAUAAUAAGUAAGUAUUAUUUUAAGCAUCUUUAACUUAGGAAAAUUCACCAAGCAUGGACUGUGUUUGUAAUUCCAUGAUCAAAGAGGUCGGCUUCCAUCUUAACCCUGUUAUCAAAGUGGGACUCAGGCUGACCAUCAGUCAGAACUGGAAGCCAGCAUUAUUUAACACCGUAGGUUCACUUCUAGAGACACUUGAUCAUUGUUCAAUGAAUGUUACCCCAUUCUGCGAACGGAAUGGUUUUUGCAACAGCUUGAUGCUGUCAAGUUUGUCUGUAAAGUGCUGGUUUAUUUGUAAACAAAAACAAAUUUCCGUUAUUUUCUAGCCUCUUCUUGCAAGAAAAAAGACUUUCAUCAGAACUUUAUUCAGUGUCAAAGUAAUCGGCAGUUCACUUGAAGAUAUUUUCUUUGCUUAAAGUUGGCAAAGUGAUUUCUGUAAAAUAUUCUGGUGAUCAAGGUAUUGAUUUACAUUCUACUGAGAUCCUUGAAGGAAGAUGUUCUUGGACAGAGAGGGAGCAUAUCAUAAAACUGAGGCUAACGAUGGUUUCCUUUUCUUUUCUAAAAAUAUCUAUAUUGAAGUUUAAUUUCUACAGCAUGUGGUUUGUUAUUUAAAAUGCUCAGCUCAGUGGUUUACAAUCAUUGCUUGUGAGCCACCAACAAUAUAAAUUAUAGAACUUCUUCAUCAUGCCCAAAGGAAGGCUCUGCUUACAAUAACACUCAUCCCCAUGAACUCCUAGGUGCACGUCUUAGAGCUGAAAAUAUAAUUUUUAAAUCUCUAAAUUUGCCCAUUUUUCACAUUCCACAGGAAAUAAAUAAUUAAGAAAUUCGUAGGUCUUUUGUGACAUUCUGUCAUUCAGCAUGCUGUUUUCAAGGCUCAACUCCCAUGACUCUUCAUGCCACUGUAUCAGCUUGAUGCCUUAGGGAAGCCCUCUUGGAACACUGAACCUUAUUUAAUCCUUUCACAGCCAUUCUAUUCUACAUAUGCAUGUAUGUGCAUGUGUGUGCACAUGAGUAUAGGCAUCUCCUGAAAUGUAACAUGUAAUCUGAAAGUUAAUGUUAGUAAUUAAGAUUAGAAAAAAAUGAACGUGUGAUUGCCAGUGAUCAUGUUUAACACAUUAAAUGAAAAGUAAUUGAUGAAUUAGAGGCACAAAAUGAUACAGCUCAUGAAUUUUUUUUUGUUGUUUAAUAAACUCUGAUGUUAUGGAGAGACGUAGAUAUGUCUGUCUGUAUUUCCAAAAGUAGCCCUUUCGUGAAAGUUUGUUAAUUAGCAAGUUGGCCUUUGUUAGAUACUCUGUCUGCCAGCACCUUGACUUGGACUCUAGAACUAUAAAAGAUAAAUUUCUGUUGUUUAUUAACCACCCAGUCCCUGAUAGUUUUGUCAUAAUAACCUGAAAAUUAUUAGUCAUGAGGCUGUUUACUGCUAUAAAAAAUGCAUAAAAAAUGUGAAGUUGCCUUGAAAUCGGGUAAAAGGCAGACACUGAAAGAGACUUGAUGACCGAGCUGAGAAAGAUGAUGGCUGUGAAUCAGCAAUUCCAAAUGAUUGGGCUGGGAGGGCUCGGGAGAGGAAGGAUGUGCGUAUAGUAAACAUCUUCAUGGAGCAGGGUCUCAGCUAGAAAUGAGAAGAUGCUAUUAGAAAGCAGAGGACAGUCUUCUAUAAAGUAGCAAAAACAUAGCUGAACACUUUGAAAACCCCAUGAGAAAUGAAAUGAAACAUUUGGCAAGGGUGAUUUCCAAAGAAAGAAUCAAUGGGGCCUGGUGGUUUAUCCUUGAAUAUGGGAAGAAAGAUGACCUAGAACAGUUACACAAAAGAAAAGUGUAGAAAAAUUUUAGCUUUUCUAUUAAACAAACAAGAAGUCAAACAAAAACUAAACAGCACUAACAACAACAACAACAACAACCAAGAAAUACUUCCUGAGAAAGUAUAAAGAAUAAGGACAAAUUAGAUGGUAAUCCCGUGUGUCUGGAUCUCAUGGAAACCAGCUUCUUUUUACUGGGAUACUGGGAAAACCAGUCAGGAAUCUGGAGAGAAGGCAAGAUCUAUUUUCCUGAACAGAGGCCAUGACCCAGAAGACUUCCGAAGGCCACUGUAGAAGGUUUUCCACGUGUGUGUGUCAAGUUUAAGAUUUUUGAGGGCAGCCUUACUCAAAAGGAAGUGUCAUUGCCCCAGCUGCUGUCCUUGUGAAGACGUUUGUAUUCAGUUCUGGGGCCUCACUUUGUAUUCACCAUAAGUGCAACUCUAGCUGUAGAUGCAGAUUCAUAGAGCAAGUACCUAAGUAAGCUGUUGGGCAAUUGUAUCUAAUAUCCAGAGAUGCCUCGGAGAACUGUAGCAAACAGGUAGAGAACCACCGGUAUACUGGAAAACAAAACAAAACAAAACAGCCCCAAAACAUUAUCUUCUAAGUAGGACAGUAUCCAGUGAGGCCAUGUAAAGAUGCCCAAUUUCAUGGCCACAGAUUAGUCCAACCAAUGGCCUAGGAUUAUGGCUUAAGAGAACAGCAGAUGUGACUACAACCAGUAAGACUGCUAAGCACUAAUCCAGGGGAGCAAGACUUGGAGGAUCAUGUCAAAGGUUUUGAUCAAGCCUUAGGGUCAUACUGCUGGGCCUGUUGUUUACUUGUGUGGAAAUUUUCUCUGCUUUCUUAUUUCUCUGUUUUAAAUGGCAGCGGUUGUGCCGUUCUGUCAGGCUCGGUAUGUCAGAAGUGCAGGAGGUAUUGGAUUUCACAGGUUCAGCGCUCAAUAAGACUCUGUGUCAGAAUGACUUGGACCUUGAUUCUCAUUCAUCUCUGAGCCAGAGAAGACUUAGCCUUUAGACCCUUACACUGUUGAUACCAGACUGAGUUAACACUUUAGAAAGAAUGCAGUUUUAAAAUAGGAAUGUCAUGCUUUUCAGGAUCACUGGGUUUGAAUCUUAGAGCUUGAAUGAUAGUUCCUCUGAGUAGGAAUUAGUUACCAAUGUCUAACAAAUAAACAAACAUGGGUGAGCUUUUGAUGUUGAUUGCUUUGAGUCUUUUGAACUCUGAGGGGGAAGCCAUUUUAAUAUUGUUUCCCUUCCCCACACAGUGUGUUCCAUUUAUUUAGUCGCUUAAUUUCUUUCAAAAACCUUUGAUGUCUCGCACUGUAUAUAUUCUGUCUUUUUACUAAGCUCGUUCCCAGGUAUUUUAUCCAUGUCACGUCAAUGAAAGUGGAAUUGCAAUGCAUACUUUUAUUUUUCAGUUGUUCACUCUUAUUAUAUAGAAAUGAGACUUUUAAGAUGUUGAUUUUUGUUUCCUCUAAUUUUUAGCACUUCCGUUAUUCUGUUAUUAGUUCUAAUAGUUCAGUGAAUCUAGGACUUUCAAUUUUAAAAUCAAGCAACCUAUAAAUAUGGUUUCACUUGUUAUCUUCUGGUAAGGGAGGCCUUAAUUUCAUUUCCUUAAAUAUUUCGUAAGGGUUAAGGAAAUAGAAUUAUAAUGCACAGUGUAUAAUCUAUGUAUCCAUGUGUAUAUCUUUCUACCUCUCCUCUAUCUUCCACCUAUCGAUGUAAAGAGAUAUUUUAUAAAAACAUUGGUUUAUAAGACUAUAAAAGCUCAUAUAUUCCAAUCUCUUCAGUUGACAAACUAGAAACACAAAAUAUUUAAUGAUAAGGGGACAGUGAGAUGGAUCAGUUAACAAAGAUAUGAACAGAGAAGUUUAGAAAGUUUUCUUCUAACCUCCAUAUGUGUGCAGUAGGGCAUGAGAAUGCCCAUCUGCACUGCACAAACUCCCCCACCCACACACACAUGCACACAAAUAUUAAUAAUUAAUAAAACUUUAAAAAUUAAUAAAUAUCCUAUUCUCUAGCUCAGAUUCAGCAACAGUUAUACCUGUUUGGGUUAAAAGGCAGAAACUUAAAUAAAAAUACCAGUGUUCAAGCUUAAGAUCAGCCAGGAAGAUUACCCCUUUCCAUGGUGGACUAUGGCUUUGUUCAGGCCUUUAACAGUUUGGGUGAGAUCUACAUUUCAGAGGAUGGUCUGAUUUAUUCAUGUGACCAAUUUCAAUGUCAAGUUCAUCAAGAGACACUCUCUGAAAUACCUAGACUAAUGUUUGACCAGAUAGCUAGGCACCUCAUGAUCCAGUCAAGUGAGGAGCAUAAAUAGUCAUCCAAAAUCCCAUCUUUGUCAGCCUGGCAGUGAUGAUAUUGCGAUAUAAACAUGAAAGCAUAUUUGGCCUUCAGGACUUCUGUCUAGAACUUUAAAAGUCCUUGUAAUUGUCUAGGAAAAUAGUGAGUGGUAGGGGUGAAAGAAAGAUAUUUUGUAAUACAUAAUAAUCUCCUUUCAACCACACUUGAGUUUAUAAGGCAAUUUUUGCAUGUAUGAAGUAUGGUUUCCAGGGGAAAAAGAUAUAAGAUUAGAAGGCUGGAACUUUGAACCAUGCCUCCCAGUCUCUAGAGAGGGAAGACUGCCCAGAGAUCCACCUAACUAUGAGUGCAUAAUGAUUUAAUUGACCACACCUCUAUAAUAAAAGUUUAUAUAAAACCUAAAGGGUGAGAUUCUGGGAGUUUUUGAAUUAAUGAACAUGUAGAGGAAGAAUGAGCUCAAUGCUGCUGAGGGAGAGGUGUUCUAACAUACGUUGGCUUUACCCUCUUCCACUUAGCUAUUUCUAGGUCAUCUCUUUUAUAAAAUAUCAAGAAUAACUAGGCUGUUUAUCUCACUUCUGUUAGCCAUUCUAUCAAACUCACAAAACCAAGAAUAGCAUCAGGAGAACUUCUGAUGGCAGUUGAGCUGGGCAAAUGCUUUGGGUUAUCUGAAGAAGGACAUCAUGCAAUGGGCAUCUGCAAAGACAGGGGAAGUAUUGUGGGAUCUGACUCUCCUCUGGCUGGUUUCACAACUACAUCCAAUUGUGGAAUAUCCACUUGAUAGUGUCUAGAUAAUUGAACUGAUUUGAUGUGCAGUUGAAAUUAUUGUUGUGUCAAAGUAAAGAACUGAGAGUGUGGAAGAAAAUCAGUGGUUCUCUAUGGCAUCUUUAAAUAUAUCCUUACCCCAUGUUUAAUUCAUUCAUACAGAUAAUAAUACAGUCGUGAUCCUCACUCAUAUGCUACAACUAUCCCAAAUACAACUGUAAAUGCACUAAUGACUUUCUCUGGAAAGAAGAACCAACCAAUCUAAAGUAGUGAUGAUUAUUAUCUUUGAUGAGUGUGUUAAGCAGCUUUUUACUGCUUUUAUACUUGCCAUGAUAUAAUACCAGAGUUAAUCAGAUUAUAAGGAGGAAAGAUCUAUUUUGUUUCAUGGUUCUGCUUGAGGAAAGAUAGAACAUCAUGGUAUAACAGUAACUAAGGCUUUAACACGUGGUUCUUUGGGAGACAUAUACUCAAAUAAUCCAUACCAAAAAAAGUUGCUGAUUUUCAAAUGCUGCAAUAAAUUCCAAUACAUCACAUAAUAAAAGAAUAAAAAAAAAGAAAGCCAAGAUAUUUGCGUUUGACACAUAUAAUAUAUUCAUAACAAAAUAAUAAAUAUUCAUGAAAGUUAUAGUCCACACUGUCUUUAUUUUUUAUUCUACACUUCUGUCAUUACUCUGUAGUCACUCACAACUCAUAUUUACAAUUACCCUGUGACACCUCUGUCACUUUCUAUUCUGUCUUCCCUUUGCCCUAAGCAAGUGCCUCAGCUGGUAAUAUCAUUUUACUUCUGUAUGUGACCCAUGUCUUCAUACCAGACUGGGCUAGACCAUUAGCAUUCUUAUGAGCUUUGACUUGUAAUUUUCUAUUAAUUCCUUAUCAUAAUUGACCUUAAUUAUCUUUAAUGUAUAUUAGUUGUAUAUGCCCCAAAGAUUCCUUUGUCUCCUAGGUGUAAUUUUUGUUUUACUCCUUGAUUAUAUUGUGGCACAGUCUAAUUUCCUCUUGGUUACUAAUAUAAUAGUUAGUAAAAUCAAAACUGAGGCACUUGUCUCGACUCUAAUAAAACAAGUAAAUACCUAAGUAUAGAAAGAAGUGAAUCCCAGGAGGUUCUGAUUACAUGAUAGCAGCUGUCACAAAAGGUGAUCAAAACCACCAGUAGACAUAGAGGCUUGCUCAGCCUCAUCAAAAAAUGACUAGACAAAAACAUGCUUUGCAACACUCUGUUCAACCUCAAACUGAUAGCACCAUUACUAUUAAUGAUUGUGCCCUAAGAGAAUUGUUUCAAAGUGUUUGACGUAAUCCUCCUCAUUUUUAUCUUUGGAAGGCUCCUUUGGCCAUAGCUUCUCUGUAUAUGGCCAUGGUUUUCUACAGCACAGGUACUCCCACUUCACUGUUCUACUCUUCUCCACUAUAACUCUCUGGAGAACCGUUAAUUGUGUUUUGGCGUUUUCAUUGGUAUCAACCACAACAGUCAACACAGUAGCUUCUUUCUUUCCCUUCUGGUUCAAGAGAAGCAUGAUGAAAUCUUAACCCCUCACUCAAUGGAGUCAUUGUUGGGUUCAUUGGCAGAAACAUUUCUCCCUCUGUAACUUAGACUUCUUCUAGCAAGGCAGAUAAGAGAACAAGAAGCAACAUUUUGCCAGUGAAUCACUGGGGAGAGAACUUUUUCCUCCAGCACUUUUUUUAUCCUAAACUUGUGUAUUCUACUUGUGGAAUAGAAAAACACCAAAACUUUAAAUAUGCAAGGCUUUAGGCAUGCAGAACUUUUUAGGGAACCUUGCCCAGAUUCUAUAGAUGGAUGGUCCUAUUGGCUAUAUAGCUGGUCAAAAAUAUUAGGGAUUACAUCAUUCUCAGACUGCAUAGUCAUUGAAUAGUUCUAUACUCUGAGGGCAAAGACCCAAUCAUCAGUUUAGGAAAAUCUGGGGAAAUCCCAAUGUAUUCAUGAUGAAAAGCAUUUAACAAAGUCUCACUCUGAUAAAAACCAAGAAUAAAGCUCUCUGAUUUCUAUUCAACAUUAUUGGAGAUCACAGCCAGGCAAUUGCAUACUAGUGAUUUUUAAUAUUUUAUGUCAACCCAUCUCAUUCUUAGAUACUUAUAGGCUGUAGUCUGAGUGAACCAAAUUGCCACCAUCCACUGCUGGUGAGAUACACCUCAUUUAAUCAGUUGAAGGACUGAAUAGAAUAGAACCAGUACUUCUGGCUUUUCACUUGUUUGGGAACGGAAAAACAGCAGGUAUGAAUUAUACAGUUUCAGUUGUUACAUUUGCAUGGUCAAAGGGCAUAAAAGGAAAAUGACUCAAAAAUUGACUCAGAAAAUUUGGUGAUAAUGUCUGUGAAAACAACUCUCUUUUUGAGCAAAAUCCUGAAAAUAUUCCAUUUGAGUGCUCACUAAUCAGGUAUAUAAAAUGAUACAUUUGCCCGCUUUUUAUUAAUCAAUUAAGUAAUUUAUAUCCUAAAUGUUGUUCCCUAUCCCAGUUCCCCCUCCCAUAGCUCCUUCUCUUAUCCUCCUCCCCUUUCCCUUGGAGAGGGUGCCCUAUUCUUGUAUCCCCCUCACCCUGGUUCAUCACAUCUUUGAAGGAUUAGGCCCAUCCUCUCCCACUGAUGUCAGAAAAGACCGCCCUCUGCUACAUACGUAGCUUGAACCAGGAUGCAUAUGCUCUUUUGUUGGUCCAGAUAAGUUGGCACUGUUAGACUUCCUGUGGUGUUGCCAUACCCUUCAGAGACUUCAGUCCUUCCUCCUAAAUCUUCCAUAGGGGUACCCAGAGUCCACUCAGUGUUUGGCUGUGGGUAGAGCCUCCCAGAGGACAGCUAUACUAAGCUCCUUUCUGCAAGUACAACAGAGCAUCACCAAUAGAGUCAGGGAUUGGUGCCUGGCCAUGGGAUGAGGUUGGGCCAGUCAGCCAUUAUUUUCUGUCUCUGCUCCAUCUUUGUCUGUGCAUUUCUUUUAAAUAGGAAAAAUUUGGGGUCAAAAGUUUUGUAGGUGAUAAUUAUUGGAUAUUAGCCAAAAAUGUAGAGAGUACCCAUGAAACAUUCCACAGACCCACAGAAGGUAAACAAGAAGAAAGGCCCAAAUGAGGAUGCCCAGAUCCUUAGAAGAGGGAACAAAAUAGUUAUGGGAGAGAGGGAACUGGGUGAGAGAGGGGAGUGUAAGGGAAAUAGGGGGACAGGGUCAGGUAUGGGGAGAAUAAGGAGAAAGGCCCAGAGGGCCAGGAGAAUGAAUGGAAAUAUGUGGCUGCCAAGGGUGGGGGUGGAGAAUCUCUAGGAAGUCCUAGAGACCUCAGAUGGGGAGGCUCCCAGGAGUCAACGCAGAUGACCUUAGCCUAGAUGCCUAACAGUGGUACAUGGAUCCUGAGGAGACCACCUUCUGAAGCCAGGCAAGACCCCCAUGGAGGAAAAUAAUACAUAUUGUAGAUACCAGUAGAUUAUUUCCUCAAAGUUCCUUCUCAUCGCCUAAUGCUUAUCAAAACUAGAUAAAUAAGAAGAAAAACAUACAUAGAUAAUUAAUUCCUACUUUUAGAGCCUUCUAGGGGGAAAUAAGCCAUGUCCAGUAAAUGCUAAAAUAUCUUGAGAGCACAGGCAACAAGGCUGAAUUUUCAUAAAUAAUCAGCAAAGGUUUUAACCUUGACUUUAUUCUUCUGGAAAAAAAUGAAAGUUCUUAUGUUGAAUAUUGAUCCAGAUUUUUAUGAAAGAAUCUGGUCUUUUAAGGCAAAACCUUCAUGUUUUUUUUAAAUGAAAAAAUAAGUUUAUAUCUCUUUUGAAUAGCUGUAUCCAAAAUUAUGCAAUUAUGACAAUCCCAGUGACCUGAAAAAUUAUUUCAGACUUAGCACACAGCCUUUCCCAAAAGCCUAAAGGACAUUGAUGAGCUGCAUAACCACACAUGUCCACAUCCCACUGUGGCUAAUGUCAUUUGGAUGUAGUAUGCAUUACCUGUUUUUAGUGAAAUACUUUCUUCCUUUUCCACUCUUCCUUCUAGUAUUCACUGUUUUUGUAGUUGUCGUCUUCCUCCUCUUCCUCCUCCUCCUUCCUUCUCCUCCUCCUUUUUCUGUUCCUCCUCCUCCUCCUCCUCCUUCUUCUUCUUCUUCUCUUCCUCUUCCUCUUCUUUGUUUUUCUUCUUGAUUUAUUGUUGUAAUAAAGUUAAUGCUCUUCCCUUUCUUCCAAUCUUUCUACUCUCUUUCCUUCCCUCCCUUCAGUUCUUAUCUCUGCCCUGCCCUCCCUCCCUCCCUUCCCCUUAUUGCCCUCCUCUUUCCCUCUAUCCUUGCUUCCCAGCAGGUGGAAUUUAGAUCUUCAGACACACUAAGUAAGUGCUCUGUUAUUGACCUGUAUUAUCAACUCCAUAAUUAUUCAUUUCCUUCAUAUUCAAAUCUGACAGAUUUUAUUUCUUAAAUUAAUCUAAGAAUCAUGAUGGCCUCUAAAUUCUUUAUCUCCAGCUCUGGACUUUAUGUCUCAAUCCAAUUCAGACAUUUUUUGAACUCAUGAAAAAUAUAGAAAAAAUUUAAAUAUGUACAAAUUCCUCAAACACAUGCCAAAUUUGGCUGAAAUUUACAAAAUAAAUUAAAAUUUUAUUCAUACAGUUAUCCAGAAAAAGAAAACAGGAACUUAUGCUUUCAUAAUUCUUUUCACAUAGUAUAAUUUAACAAAACAUUUUGUAACAGACACCACAUACACACACACACACACACACACACACACACACACACACACACACACACAAUAGAUGGACAAACAGAAUGAGUCCCCUACCACAUUUCUAUAGCUGGAAAGAAUUGGUACUAACUCAAAUGAACAUCAGUGGAUUUUGAUAUGGUAGACACAGAGUUAUUAAGAUAAAUAUCACUUUAUCACUUAUUCUUAAAAGUUAGAAAGCAAAGCUGUGGACUGUUGCAGCUAGAAUUCUGACACAAUAUUAUUAAUAAAUAAGGUGCAUUCAUUUAAAUUUGGAAGGUAUAAAAGGGUGUUAUCUCCUUCAUCUCGUUUAUUUAUGUUAAAGAUUUGUUUACUUUUAUUUUAUAUGUAUAUUGGUGGUUUUGCCUGCGUAUAUUUGAGUGCUUGUAUGGAGAUGUGUAUGAUGUCCAUAGACACCAGAAGAGGGCUAUUUUAGGGUUUCCAUUGCCACAAAGAGACAUCGUGACCAAGGCAAGUUUUACAAAAGAAAACAUUUUAUUGAGGCUGCUUAUAGUUUCACAGGUUCAGUUCCAUCAUCAUUCUGGUUGGAAGCAUGGGAAUGUCCAAAGAAGACACGGUGCCGGAGGACUGGAUGGUUCUACAGAAGGAGCGAGGCUUAGCCUGAACACCAGAGACUGCAAAGCCAGCCACACAGGGACACACUUCCUCUAUGGAGGGUGUAACUCUGAAUAGUGCCACUCCUUAUGGGUCAAGCAUUCAAACACAUGAGUCUGUGGUGAGCACAUGUAUUUAAUCCACUACAAGGGCUCAUAGGUCUGCAGUUACAGAUUGUUAUGAGCCUCCUGGGUCUUCUGCUGUAAAAACCUGAGCCAUGUCUCUAGCCAUCCUCUCGUUGCUUGAGAAAACUUGUAGAAAGAUGCAAUUUUGCUGUUUGAAUGGAUUUCACAGCAGCAGUCUCCCAGAGCCCACUCUCCAGCUUCCUACACACUGAGCACUACUUUUGGUGGAACCAGUGGGAGGUGUUGUUUUGUUUUAAAUUCUGUACAGUAUAAGUUUUAAUUGGUCAGUUGGUUUUAUUAUUGUUGUUUUGAGAGGCAUUCCUGAAAAGCCUAGUGAUAAUCUUUCAUUUCAAGCCUGUCCAGUACUUUUAAGUCUAAUUCUACUUUAUCUGAAUAAUUGCAAUUUAUACAGUUGUUUACUUCUUAAACUGGAUCAAUUCUGAUAUAUACAGAAAGGCACCACUGAUGCAUAAAUGUACCAUUUUGUCCAAUGAAAGGAGUGAUGAAAUUCAGUAGUGAAAUCAUAGCUAGUCCUACAAUGGAACAACACAGCAAGUUUAAGAAAUGAACAGAGGAUAGAUUCAUGAAUGAGAAUCAAAUGUGAUUAUUAAUGCAAAUAGUACAAGUGAAGUCAAGUUUGAGAACAUGAAUGUAUCACAUAUAUAUAAUAUAAAAAAUUUUCUAUAUAUUUAGUGCACAUGAAAUUAACACUAAAAGUUUGUGACUUGCAAAAGAGAGGAGAGAAAAAGAUACAUACUCAAAAACAUCCUAGCCUUUUCUCAAAUGCAUCAAAGAAUUUUGAAUUUUCUGUAAAAUUUAAAGAAGGGCACGUUAAUGAUCUUUGAUUUGUAAGGAAUUUUAAAUUAUUAAAAGUUUAUGUUUUCAUCUAAUUCAAUCAUUGUGUUGUCUAAGGAGAAUUUCCUAUUGGUCUAAUCUUUUCUUUCUGUAUGGUACCAGGCAUUGAACUAAGGAGCUUUAUCAUUGAGGCAAGCAAGCAAACAUCCUACUGCAGAGCUACAACCCCAGUCCUGUUCUGUUUUAUUCUCACCAAUAUUCAUUAUGAGCUCAUUCUGUCAUUCACUGGGCCCCCAGGGCAUGGCUCUCUUCCCUUCUCUCUAAUAUAUAACCAAUGCAAUAGCCAUAUCUAAUUUCUUCAUUACACUUUAAUACUCCACUCACUUAUCUCCUUUUCUGCUGCACAUCCCUCUGUUUUCUCUAAUCUGAGUAAUUAGUAACACCUGAAGAGCUCUGAGAUCCUAGAGCAAUGGAGUGUCUGGGCAUGAUAAAUGGUUGGCAGUACAACUAUAUCAUAAGCCGGUUCACUUAUGUCCUUACUGAUGUUCAUUCCAUUGUGGGUUUUGUCUAUCUCUGAUUAUUUCUCCCCAUGAUGACCAAUUUAAAAUAUCUUCCUAGUCUUGGUUGACUAACCUUUCUUCUGCCAUCAAAUCACUUCAUGUACUAUUUUCUAAAGAAAGUAAGGCUCAACCUUUUUAAACACACAGGUUGAUUCUCAUCUUCCCACAUGUAAGACUCUGCCCUCUCUGAAGUAGCAUAAAGAUCAAGAGGUUGACCAUUUUGGAAAUGCCAUCUGAACCCUUGGGACCUUUUGAAACUGUAGGAAGAUAUUCUGAAAAUAAAGUUCACAUUUUGAAGGUAGUCAACAUAAGAUAAGAAAAAUCUAUGGAUCAACAGUGAUGGUAUUUAGUGUUUUAAUUAAGCAUGUCUAUAUCAGAAAUCCUAUAGUUGUAUAAAAGAAAUGAACAAUAUGGGAGUCUAUUAAGUUAUUUCUAAGUGCUUGCUGACAGGUGCCUAGUAUAGGUCUCCCCUGAGAGGCUCUGCCAGAGCUUGACCAAUAUGGAUGUAGAUGUACGCAGCCAAACGUCGGACUGAGCUCAGGCACCAAUGGAGCUCUUUCAGGGCAAGGACUGAAAGAGCUGAAGGGGUUUGCAACCACAUAGGGAGAACAACAAUAUCAACCAACCAGAUCCCCCACCCCAGAGCUCCCAGGGACUAAACUGCCAACCAAAGAAUACACAUGGAGGGACCCAUGGCUCCAACUGGAUGUGUAGCAGAGGAUUACCUUAUAUGACAUCACUGAGAGGGGAGCCACUUGGUCCUGUGGAUGCUGAAUGACCCAGGGUAGGGAAAUGCUAGAGCUCUGAUGCAGGGAGAGGGGAUAGGGAGAUUGUGGAGGGGAAACUGGGAAGGCAUAUGACAUUUGAUGUAAAUAAAUAAAAUAACCAAUAAAAAUAAAUAAAAGUUGUU